UACGUAGGUGGCAAGCGUUGUCCGGAUUUACUGGGCGUAAAGAGCGCGCAGGCGGUCGUUCAAGUCGCGUGUGAAAGCCCCCGGCUCAACUGGGGAGGGUCACGCGAUACUGAUCGACUGGAAGGCAGGAGAGGGUAGUGGAAUUCCCGGUGUAGUGGUGAAAUGCGUAGAUAUCGGGUGGAACACCAGUGGCGAAGGCGACUACCUGGCCUGUUCUUGACGCUGAGGCGCGAAAGCUAGGGGAGCAAACGGG
This 253-nucleotide ribosomal RNA is filed under the name uncultured bacterium. Its description in RNAcentral is "partial 16S ribosomal RNA". It matches the Rfam family "Bacterial small subunit ribosomal RNA", at positions 524 to 776 of the family's 1533-position model. The record is from RNAcentral.